This is a long non-coding RNA of Homo sapiens (human), 6355 nucleotides long. RefSeq lists it as uncharacterized. NCBI's taxonomy places the organism in Eukaryota, Metazoa, Chordata, Mammalia, Primates, Hominidae. The transcript has a single exon. The record is from RefSeq and is marked validated.
GAGCUCUGUUCUUGAGACGCGAGUCUGCCGAAACUCCCAGGCGAAUAAAGCCAAAUCCUUCCUUAACCUGGUGUCUGAGGGGUUUUGUCCACGGCUCAUCCUGCUACCUUUCUUAGUUCCCUGACCGGGAAAUCGGGUGACUGAUGGACGGUGGAGGCAGCCCCUUAGGCAGUUUAGGCCUGCCCUGUGAAGUAUCCCUGUGGGCGGCUCUGGCCAGCUUGAGUGACGCAGAUCCUGAGAGCGCUCCUGGGUAGGUAUUUGCCCCGGUGGGAUGCCUUAUCAGAGUGGUGCAUGGCAGGCCCCCGUGGAGGAUCAACGCAGUGGCUGAACACUGGGAAGGAACUGGCACUUGGAGUCUGGACAACUGGAAUACGGUAGGACCGGUCCUGGGAAUUUCCCCACUCCGUUUGAGUGGAAGCGUAGCCUGAUCACCCACCGUGUGCCCUUAUCGGCACUUGGGUCUCAGCAUUGAUUUUGAUUUGGUUUGACUUGUUUGCAAUCGGCACUUUGGUCUCAGUAUUGAUUUUGAUUUGGCUUGACUUGUUUGCAAAAAGGAAAGUGAAAGUGAGUGCUUGAGUUUGAGACAGGCGAGACUAGAGUGACCCCUUUACCCUUUCCUUCUUGUAGUGUGAGUGUUGUUUUGUCUCGGGAGGAAGGUGGGUGGAACGCAAAGUAAGCCCACUCUUCUAGGAACUAUGUUGAAAAAUUUCAAGGAAGGAUUUGGUGGAGACUAUGGAGUUAACUAUGACACUAGGAAAGCUUAGAACUUUGUGUGAGAUAGACUGAGCAGCAUUAGAAGUGGGUUGGCCAACAGAAGGAAGCCUAGACAGGUCCCUUGUUUCAAAGGUGUGGCACAAGGUAACUGGUAAAGGAUACCUAGACCAGUUUCCAUACAUAGACACUUGGUUACAGCUGGUUUUAGACCCCCCCACAGUGGUUAAGAGGAUAGGCAGUAGUAAUACUAGUGGCAAAGGGACAAACAGCCAAGGAAGAAUCCUGGUCCACCUGCCGAGGGAAUCAACUCCUAAAGUCCUGUCCGACCCAACAUCAGAGGAUUCAUGGCAAGAAACAGCACCAGUGACCUCCCCCUUUUACCAAGAAGGAAGGCCUUCCAUUCCUGAGCCCACUGCACCCAAGCUUCCACAAGGCCUAUAUACCCCUAGGCCAUCAAGAGUAGAAAAGAAAGGAUGUGAGGCCUCGGGAGAAACCCCUCCCUUGGCAGCCUGUUUGAGGCCUAGAACUGGGAUACAAAUGCCCCCGAGAGAGCAAUGGUAUACUGGGGUAGACGAGGACGGGCAUAUGGUGGAAAGGCGUGCCUUUGUGUACCAGCUCUUCACCCCUACCGAUCUCCUCAAUAGGAAGAACAAUACCCCAUCCUAUACCGGAAAGCCUCAAGCUAUAAUUGAUUUGCUCCAAACUAUAAUCCAGACCCACAACCCCACCUGGGCUGAUUGCCACCAGGUGCUCAUGUACCUCUUUAACACAGAUGAAAGGAGGAGAGUGCUCCAAGCAGCAACUAAGUGGCUGGAAGAACAUGUUCCUGCUGAUUACCAAAACCCCCAAGAGUAUGUGAGGAUCCAAUUACCAGGAACAGACCCCCAGUGGGACCCAGAUGAAAGACAGUAUGCAAAGGCUAAACCGGUACAGGGAAGCCCUUCUGGAAGGGUUAAAGAAGGGAGCGCAGAAGGCCACAAAUGUUAACAAAGUCUCUGAGGUCAUUUAAGGGAAAGAUGAGAGCCCAGCACAAUUCUACGAGAGACUAUGUGAGGCCUAUCCUAUGUAUACUCCCUUUGAUCCCGAUAGCCCUGAAAAUCAGUGCAUGAUUACCAUGGCUUUAGUCAAACUACAGAAGACAUUAGAAGAAAAUUGCAGAAACAGGCUGGGUUUGUAGGCAUGAAUAUGUCACAGUUAUUGGAGAUAGCCAACCAGGUGUUUGUAAAUAGAGAUGCAGUAAGCCGCAGAGAGCACCACAGAGAGUGAAUGCCAAGCCCGGCGAAACACUGACCUGCUAGCGGCAGCUAUUAGAGGGGUUUCCCCCAAAGGGGCGAGAGAAGGGGGGCCCCAGGAAAAAUACCCAAUCUGGCCAUCCACACUUGCAGCGUAACCAGUGUGCUUUACUGUAAGAAAACAGGACAUUGGAAGGAAGGGGCCCCCAGUUGAAAGGGAAAUGAGGUGACUCUGAGCAAAGGGUCUCAGACAAGGACGAAGGAGACUUGUUCAAUCUGCCAGAAGGGUUAUGGGACAGAGGGGGACCAGGCUCAUGUGCCCCCAAAGAGCCCAUGGUCAGGAUGACAGCUGGGGGCAGAACAUUGAGUUUCUAGUCAAUACUGGUGCUGAACAUUCUGUAGUGACCACCCCGGUUGCCCCCUUAUCCAAAAAGACUAUUGAUAUAAUUGGAGCCACAGGGGUUUUGGCAAAGCAAGCUUUCUGUUUGCCCCAGACCUGUACCAUAGGGGGACAUGAAGUGACUUACCAGUUCCUGUACAUGCUUGACUGCCCCUUGCCUUUGCUAGGAAGGGACCUACUUAGCAAACUGAAAGCCACCAUCUAUUUUACAAAGCACAGCUCUUUACAGUUAAAGUUACCUAGAACGGGAAUCAUCACUGGUCAGGCAAAAACAGUACCCGGUCCCCAGAGAAGCUCUUGAAGGUAUCCAGGUCCAUCUCAAGUGCCUGAGGGCCUUUGGAAUUAUAGUCCCUUGUCAUUCUCCAUGGAACACUCCCCUCCUGCCUGUUCCCAAGCCAGGGACCAAGGACUACAGGCUGAUACAGGACUUGCACUUGGUCAAUCAAGCUACGGUGACUUUACAUCCAACAGUACCUAACCCAUACACAUUGUUGUGGUUGCUGCCAGCUGAGGACAGCUGGUUCACCUACCUGGGCCUGAAGGACGCUUUCUUUAGCAUCAGACUAGCCCCUGAGAGCCAGAAACUGUUUGCCUUUCAGUGGGAGGAUCCAGGGUCAGGUGUCACCACUCAGUACACUUGGACCCAGCUUCCCCAAGGGUUCAAGAACUCCACCACCAUCUUCGGGGAGGCCCUGGCUCGAGACCUGCAAAAGUUUCCCACCAGAGACCUAGGCUGCGUGUUGCUCCAGUAUGUCGAUGACCUCCUGCUGGGACACCUCAUGGCAGUUGGGUGUGCCAAGGGAAUGGAUACCCUGCUCUGGCACCUGGAGGACUGUGGGUAUAAGGUAUCCAAGAAGAAAGCUCAGAUAUGUCAACAGGAGGUACGUUACUUGGGAUUUACUAUCCAACAGGGGGAGCGCAGCCUGGGAUCAGAAAGAAUGCAGGUCAUUUGCAACCUACCGGAGCCUAAGACCAAAAGGCAGGUGAGAGAAUUCUUAGGAGCUGUGGGGUUCUGCAGGUUAUGGAUCCCAAACUUUGCAGUACUGGCCAAACCUCUGUACGAAGUCAUAAAGGGAGGUAACAAAGAGCCUUUUGAAUGGAAGUCACAAAAGCAAUGAGCUUUUCAUGAGUUAGAAGAGAAACUCAUGUCAGCCCCAGCCCUGGGGCUACCUGACCUGAUGAAGCCAUUUACACUGUAUGUGGCAGAGUGAAAAGAUGGAAGUUGGGAGUUUUAAUCCAGACGGUGGGGCCCUGGCCAAGACCAGUAGCCUACCUCUCCAAACAGCUAGAUGGAGUUUCUAAAGGUUGGCCCCCAUGUUUGAGGACCUUGGCAGCAACUGCCCUGCUAGCACAAGAAGCAGAUAAACUAACUCUUGGGCAAAACCUGAACAUAAGCACCCCCCAUGCUGUGGUGACUUUAAUGCAUACCAAAGGACAUCAUUGGCUAACAAAUGGUAGACUAACUAAGUACCAAAGCUUGCUCCGUGAAAAUCCCUGCAUAACCAUUGAAGUUUGCAACACCUUGAACUCCACCACCUUACUCCCAGUGUCAGAGAGCCCAGUCGAACGUAACUAUGUAGAGGUGUUGGACACAGUUUAUUCUAGCAGGCCUGACCUCCAAGACCAUCCUUGGACAUCAGUAGACUGGGAGCUGUACAUGGACAGGAGCAGCUUCGUCAACCCACAAGGAGAGAGGUGUGCAGGAUAUGCAGUGGUAACCCUGGAUGCUGUCACUGAAGCCAAAUCAUUGCCCCAGGAUACUUCAGCCCAAAAGGUCAAACUCAUUGCUUUAAUUUGGGCCUUAGAGCUAAGUGAAGGUAAGACUGUAAAUAUUUAUACUGACUCUCGGUAUGCCUUCUUAACCCUCCAAGUGCAUGGGGCAUUAUAUAAAGAAAAAGGCCCAUUGAAAUCUGGGGGAAAAGACAUAAAGUACCAGCAAGAGAUCCUGCAGUUAGUAGAGGCAGUAUGGAAGCCCCAAAAGGUGGCAGUCAUGCAUUGCAGAGGACACCAGCGAGCUUCCACCUCGAUUGCCUUGGGGAACUCCCAAGCUGACUCAGAGGCUUGAAAAGUAGCAUCCACCCCCUUCUGGGCAUCAAUCACAGCCCCCCUAUUCCCUCAGGCACCUGACCUUGUACCUACUUAUUCUAAAGAAGAGAAGGACUUUCUCUAGGCAGAGGGAGGACAGGUGAUAGAAGAGGGAUGGAUCUGGUUAUCGGACAGGAGAAUAGCCAUACCACAACUGCUAGGAGCCGCAGUCAUAUUGGCUAUGCAUGAGACCACGCACAUAGGCCAAGAGCCACUUGAAAAGUUGUUGGGCCAGUUCUUCUACAUCUCACAUCUGUAAGCCUUUGCCAAAACAGUGGUGCAGCAGUGUGUCACCUGCUAGCAGCACAAUGCUAGGCAAGGUCCAACUGUCCCGCCCAGCAUACAAGCUUAUGGAGCAGCCCCCUUUGAAGAUCUCCAAGUAGACUUCACCAAGAUGUCCAAAUGUGGAGGUAACAGGUAUUUGCUAGUUCUAGUGUGUACAUACUCUAGGUGGGUGGAGGCCUAUCCAACACGAACUGGGAAAGCUUGUGAAGUAACCUGUGUGCUUCUCCGAGAUCUCAACCCUACGUUUGGACUGCCCUUACGAAUCAGCUCAGACAAUGGGCUGGUGUUUGUAGCUAGUUGGUACAGAAGACAGCAAAGGUAUUGGGGAUCACAUGGAAACUACAUACCGCUUACCAACCACAGAGUUCUGGGAAGGUGGAGUGGAUGAAUCAGACUAUCAAAAAUAGUUUAGGGAAAGUGUGUCAAGAAACAGGAUUAAAGUGGGUAUAAGCCUCCCUAUGGUAUUGUUUAAGAUUAGAUGUACCCCUUCUAAAAGAACAGGAUAUUCCCCUUAUUAAAUAUUAUAUCAUAGGCCCCCCUCCCAGACUAUGGGGACUCCCAGGCACUCCUCGAGAGCUAGGUGAAAUUGACUUACAGCAACAGCUACAGGCUUUAGGCAAAAUUACACAAACAAUUUCAGCCUGGGUAAAUGAGAGGUGCUCUGUCAGCUUAUUCUCCCCAGUUCACCCUUUCUCCCCAGGUGAUCGGGUAUGGAUCACGGAUUGGAACAUAGCCUCCUUGCAGCCACGGUGGAGAGGACCCCAGACCAUCGUCUUGACCACUCCCACAGCCAUAAAGGUAGAAGGAAUCCCAGCCUGGAUUCACCACAGCCAUGUAAAACCUAAAGCAUCUGAGACCUGGGAGGUGAGACCAAGCUUGGACAACCCAUGCAAGAUGACUUUGAAGAAGAUGACAAGCCCUGCUCCAGUCACACCUGGAAGCUGACUGGUCCGUGCAUGGCUGAAGCAUGAGGAAACUCAUCGUGGGACUCAUUUUCCUAAAAUUUUGGACUUGUACAGUAAGGACUUCAACUGACCUUCCUCAGACUGAGGUAGGGCAAAAAGUUAAAACAGACUUUCUGUUUAAAAGGGACUUGUGUGUAUAAUGCUACCCAGUACAAGAUAUGCAGCCCAAGAAGUGACCAGCUUGAUGUGUGCUAUAACCCAUUGGAACUAGUUUAUCCCUGUUGGAAAACAGAGUAUGUAACUCUAGGAAUUGAUGGAACUGGACUGGAAGACCUGGGUAGUGAAGAUGACAGUGAGAACUCCCACUAGUGAGUGAGAUUCUCAAAGGGGGGAAUGAGAAGUGAGGCCAUUUCUCUUACUGUCUCCUGUCUCUGAAGAGGAGGAGGAAGUAAAAGUUGAAAAACAACAGGAAUGAAGUCAUUGGCAAGACCAGCCGGUGCCACUGAUGACCAGGCCUGAGGUUAAAAGAUCAACCCCCCACUCUAACCACAUGUGCUCUCAAUCUAUCAUGACCCUUUCAUGUGGACCCCCUUAGAGUUGUAAGCCCUUAAAAGGGCCAGGAACUCUGUCUUCAGGGAGCUCGGUUCUUGAGACAUGAGUCUGCCAAAGCUCCCAGCUGUUGAGAUGCGAGUCUGCCAAAGCUCCUGGCCGAAUAAAGCCAAAUCCUUCCUUAA